Molecule: ribosomal RNA, 494 nt
Filed under: uncultured bacterium
Lineage: Bacteria
Description: bacterial SSU rRNA
Rfam family: Bacterial small subunit ribosomal RNA
Source: RNAcentral
AUUGAACGCUGGCGGCAGGCCUAACACAUGCAAGUCGAGCGGAUGAAAGGGGCUUGCUCCUGGAUUCAGCGGCGGACGGGUGAGUAAUGCGCAGGAAUCUACCUCGUAGUGGGGGAUAACGUCUCGAAAGGGGCGCUAAUACCGCAUACGUUCUGAGGAAGAAAGCAGGGGACCUUCGGGCCUUGCGCUAUGAGAUGAGCUUGCGUCCGAUUAGCUAGUUGGUGGGUAAAGGCCUACCAAGGCGACGAUCGGUAACUGGUCUGAGAGGAUGAUCAGCCACACUGGGACUGAGACACGGCCCAGACUCCUACGGGAGGCAGCAGUGGGGAAUAUUGGACAAUGGGCGCAAGCCUGAUCCAGCAAUGCCGCGUGUGUGAAGAAGGCCUGCGGGUUGUAAAGCACUUUCAGUGGGGAAGAACGGGUCCGGGCCAAUACCCCGGAUCACUGACGUUACCCACAGAAGAAGCACCGGCUAACUCCGUAGCCAGCAGCCG